UAGCGACCGUCACCCGGAUUACUUUUAUUUCUGCAUUUAGUAAUUUAAUAAUUAAAUCGUUUAGUUAGAUGAUCACUAUGAAUGUUUGGUUAUUUGUGAAUUGGUUUGAGUUGAUUUACUAUGAUGCUUGCAAUUGGAGUUUAUGGAUUUGUGGUUUUGGUUUUAUGGAUAAUUGGUCCUCGGACUUAUGUAUUUACGCAUUGUGGUUUUUUACCCCUCGAGGUAGUCGAUUUUCAAAAGUGAAGUUUUCGUGUGGGAAACAGUUUUAAAAAGAUUUUCGAAUGGUUUUUAUAGAUGACUAAUUAGAGUUUAAAAAUCAAAGUUUCCGGGUGGGGGGCACUUUUAAAUAGGAUGCUUGUUGUACUG
RNAcentral lists this long non-coding RNA (366 nucleotides) under Ananas comosus (pineapple). Its description in RNAcentral is "long non-coding RNA (ACOM_LNC034566)". The record is from RNAcentral. Lineage: Eukaryota; Viridiplantae; Streptophyta; Magnoliopsida; Poales; Bromeliaceae.